This 164-nucleotide ribosomal RNA is filed under the name Glyceria spiculosa. Its description in RNAcentral is "5.8S ribosomal RNA". It matches the Rfam family "5.8S ribosomal RNA". From Rfam's summary of the family: 5.8S ribosomal RNA (5.8S rRNA) is a component of the large subunit of the eukaryotic ribosome. Lineage: Eukaryota; Viridiplantae; Streptophyta; Magnoliopsida; Poales; Poaceae. The record is from RNAcentral.
CUACACGACUCUCGGCAACGGAUAUCUCGGCUCUCGCAUCGAUGAAGAACGUAGCGAAAUGCGAUACCUGGUGUGAAUUGCAGAAUCCCGCGAACCAUCGAGUCUUUGAACGCAAGUUGCGCCCAAGGCCACCCGGCCGAGGGCACGCCUGCCUGGGCGUCACG